Molecule: ribosomal RNA, 452 nt
Filed under: Reticulitermes tibialis
Lineage: Eukaryota; Metazoa; Arthropoda; Insecta; Blattodea; Rhinotermitidae
Description: partial 16S ribosomal RNA
Source: RNAcentral
CUUAAUCCAACAUCGAGGUCGCAAACCCCCCUGCCGAUAAGAACUCUCAAGGGAAAUAACGCUGUUAUCCCUAAGGUAAUUUAAUCUUACAAUCAAAAUAAAUGGAUCAAGUAAAUAUAAAUAAAUAUAACAACCUAAAGGAGGGGUUAAAUAAAUCCCUCCCAUCACCCCAACAAAACAUACUAAACGGCCCAGUGAACCCUCACAAACAGAAAGGGGCCAUAAUAAAUGUUAAACUCUAUAGGGUCUUCUCGUCCCAUAAAAACAUCUAAGAAUUUUAACUCAAAGACCAAAUUCAAUAAACAAUUCAAAAUUAAGACAGCCCAUGCCUCGUCAAGCCAUUCAUACCAGAUCACAAUUAAAGAACUAAUGACUAUGCUACCUUUGCACGGUCAAAAUACCGCGGCCCUUCAACAUCAAAGUCAGUGGGCAGGCCAUACUUCAAAAACUAA